AGAGUUUGAUCCUGGCUCAGGACGAACGCUGGCGGCGUGCCUAAUACAUGCAAGUCGAGCGAGCUUGCCUAGAUGAUUUUAGUGCUUGCACUAAAUGAAACUAGAUACAAGCGAGCGGCGGACGGGUGAGUAACACGUGGGUAACCUGCCCAAGAGACUGGGAUAACACCUGGAAACAGAUGCUAAUACCGGAUAACAACACUAGACGCAUGUCUAGAGUUUGAAAGAUGGUUCUGCUAUCACUCUUGGAUGGACCUGCGGUGCAUUAGCUAGUUGGUAAGGUAACGGCUUACCAAGGCAAUGAUGCAUAGCCGAGUUGAGAGACUGAUCGGCCACAUUGGGACUGAGACACGGCCCAAACUCCUACGGGAGGCAGCAGUAGGGAAUCUUCCACAAUGGACGAAAGUCUGAUGGAGCAACGCCGCGUGAGUGAAGAAGGGUUUCGGCUCGUAAAGCUCUGUUGGUAGUGAAGAAAGAUAGAGGUAGUAACUGGCCUUUAUUUGACGGUAAUUACUUAGAAAGUCACGGCUAACUACGUGCCAGCAGCCGCGGUAAUACGUAGGUGGCAAGCGUUGUCCGGAUUUAUUGGGCGUAAAGCGAGUGCAGGCGGUUCAAUAAGUCUGAUGUGAAAGCCUUCGGCUCAACCGGAGAAUUGCAUCAGAAACUGUUGAACUUGAGUGCAGAAGAGGAGAGUGGAACUCCAUGUGUAGCGGUGGAAUGCGUAGAUAUAUGGAAGAACACCAGUGGCGAAGGCGGCUCUCUGGUCUGCAACUGACGCUGAGGCUCGAAAGCAUGGGUAGCGAACAGGAUUAGAUACCCUGGUAGCCCAUGCCGUAAACGAUGAGUGCUAAGUGUUGGGAGGUUUCCGCCUCUCAGUGCUGCAGCU
This 886-nucleotide ribosomal RNA is filed under the name uncultured bacterium. RNAcentral's name for it is "bacterial SSU rRNA". It matches the Rfam family "Bacterial small subunit ribosomal RNA", at positions 8 to 853 of the family's 1533-position model. The record is from RNAcentral.